AUUAAAGGGCCGCGGUAUUUUAACCGUGCAAAGGUAGCAUAAUCAUUAGGUUUUUAAUUAGAAUCUUGUAUGAAUGGUUCGACAAAAGAAAUACUGUCUUUAUAUUAAAUUUUGAAUUUAACUUUUAAGUGAAAAGGCUUAAAUAUAUUAAAGGGACGAUAAGACCCUAUAAAACUUUACAUUGUAAUUUUAUUUAAUUGAGUUUGUGAAAUAAAGAUUUAAUUUAAUUAUAUGUUAUGUUGGGGAGACAAAGGUAAAAUAAAUUUUAACUGCUUUAUGUUAAAACAUAUAUUUAUGGAUAUAUUAAAAGAUCCUUUAUAAAGAUUAAAAGAUUAAGUUACUUUAGGGAUAACAGCGUUAUUUUUUUUGAGAGUUCCUAUCGAAAAGAGAGUUUGCGACCUCGAUGUUGAAUUAAAAUAUCUUUAUAGUGCAGAAGCUAUGAAAGAAGGUCUGUUCGACCUUUAAAUUUUUACAUGAUUUGAGUUCA
Molecule: ribosomal RNA, 487 nt
Filed under: Potamon ibericum
Lineage: Eukaryota; Metazoa; Arthropoda; Malacostraca; Decapoda; Potamidae
Description: partial large subunit ribosomal RNA
Rfam family: Archaeal large subunit ribosomal RNA
Source: RNAcentral